AUUGAACGCUGGCGGCAUGCUCUACACAUGCAAGUCGAACGGUAACAGGCCGCAAGGUGCUGACGAGUGGCGAACGGGUGAGUAAUGCAUCGGAACGUGCCCAGUCGUGGGGGAUAACUACUCGAAAGAGUAGCUAAUACCGCAUACGAUCUAUGGAUGAAAGCGGGGGACCGUAAGGCCUCGCGCGGUUGGAGCGGCCGAUGUUAGAUUAGGUAGUUGGUGGGGUAAAGGCUCACCAAGCCAACGAUCUGUAGCUGGUCUGAGAGGACGACCAGCCACACUGGGACUGAGACACGGCCCAGACUCCUACGGGAGGCAGCAGUGGGGAAUUUUGGACAAUGGGCGCAAGCCUGAUCCAGCAAUGCCGCGUGCAGGAAGAAGGCCUUCGGGUUGUAAACUGCUUUUGUACGGAACGAAACGGCUCUGGUUAAUACCCGGGGCUAAUGACGGUACCGGAAGAAUAAGCACCGGCUAACUACGUG
Molecule: ribosomal RNA, 482 nt
Filed under: uncultured bacterium
Lineage: Bacteria
Description: partial 16S ribosomal RNA
Rfam family: Bacterial small subunit ribosomal RNA
Source: RNAcentral